RNAcentral lists this ribosomal RNA (1441 nucleotides) under uncultured Candidatus Pelagibacter sp. Its description in RNAcentral is "bacterial SSU rRNA". It matches the Rfam family "Bacterial small subunit ribosomal RNA". The record is from RNAcentral. Lineage: Bacteria; Pseudomonadati; Pseudomonadota; Alphaproteobacteria; Candidatus Pelagibacterales; Candidatus Pelagibacteraceae.
AGGGUUCGAUCAUGGCUCAGAACGUACGCUGGCGGCACGCCUAACACAUGCAAGUCGAACGAAGUAGCAAUACUUAGUGGCAGACGGGUGAGUAACAUGUAGGUAUCUACCCUUUGGCCUGGAAUAACACGAGGAAACUUGUGCUAAUACCGGAUAAGUCUUUACGGAGAAAGCUUUAUGCACCAUUGGAUGAGCCUGCACUUGAUUAGUUUGUUGGUGGGGUAAUGGCCUACCAAGACUGUGAUCAAUAGCUGAUUUGAGAGGAUGAUCAGCCACAUUGGGACUGAGACACGGCCCAAACUCCUACGGGAGGCAGCAGUGGGGAAUCUUGCACAAUGGAGGAAACUCUGACGCAGCGAUGCCGCGUGAGUGAAGAAGGCCCUUGGGUUGUAAAGCUCUUUCGUCGGGGAAGAAAAUGACUGUACCCGAAUAAGAAGGUCCGGCUAACUUCGUGCCAGCAGCCGCGGUAAUACGAAGGGACCUAGCGUAGUUCGGAAUUACUGGGCUUAAAGAGUUCGUAGGUGGUUGAAAAAGUUAGUGGUGAAAUCCCAGAGCUUAACUCUGGAACUGCCAUUAAAACUUUUCAGCUAGAGUAUGAUAGAGGAAAGCAGAAUUUCUAGUGUAGAGGUGAAAUUCGUAGAUAUUAGAAAGAAUACCAAUUGCGAAGGCAGCUUUCUGGAUCAUUACUGACACUGAGGAACGAAAGCAUGGGUAGCGAAGAGGAUUAGAUACCCUCGUAGUCCAUGCCGUAAACGAUGUGUGUUAGACGUUGGAAAUUUAUUUUCAGUGUCGCAGCGAAAGCGAUAAACACACCGCCUGGGGAGUACGACCGCAAGGUUAAAACUCGAAUGAAUUGACGGGGACCCGCACAAGUAGUGGAGCAUGUGGUUUAAUUCGAAGAUACGCGCAGAACCUUACCAACACUUGACAUGUUCGUCGCGACUCUAAGAGAUUAGAGUUUUCGGUUCGGCCGGACGAAACACAGGUGCUGCAUGGCUGUCGUCAGCUCGUGUCGUGAGAUGUUGGGUUAAGUCCCGCAACGAGCGCAACCCUCACUUUUAGUUGCCGUCAUUUAGUUGGGCACUCUGAAAGAACUGCCAGUGAUAAGCUGGAGGAAGGUGGGGAUGACGUCAAGUCCUCAUGGCCCUUACGUGUUGGGCUACACACGUGCUACAAUGGUAUCUACAACAGGAAGCAAGACCGCGAGGUUUAGCAAAUCCUUAAAAGAUACCUCAGUUCGGAUUGCACUCUGCAACUCGAGUGCAUGAAGCUGGAAUUACUAGUAAUCGUGGAUCAGCGUGCCACGGUGAAUGCGUUCCCGGGUCUUGUACACACCGCCCGUCACACCAUGGGAGUUGGUUCUACCUUAAGGCAAGGUUUAAAACCCUUGACCACGGUAUAGUCAGCGACUGGGGUGAAGUCGUAACAAGGUAGCCAAGGG